GGUUCCAUGGUGUAUCGGUUACACCUGGACUUUGAAUCCAGCGAUCCGAGUUCAAAACUCGGUGGAACAUUCA
Molecule: non-coding RNA, 73 nt
Organism: Trichonephila inaurata madagascariensis
Lineage: Eukaryota; Metazoa; Arthropoda; Arachnida; Araneae; Nephilidae
Source: the annotation of a GenBank genome assembly